RNAcentral lists this long non-coding RNA (8937 nucleotides) under Hordeum vulgare. RNAcentral's name for it is "long non-coding RNA (HVUL_LNC009498)". Lineage: Eukaryota; Viridiplantae; Streptophyta; Magnoliopsida; Poales; Poaceae. The record is from RNAcentral.
UUAUACUAAUUCCUCAGCUUGUUUGAUUUUUUCAGAACUUUUGGAGUUACAAAAGUAUAUGUUCAUUACAUAUUACUAUAGACUAUUCUAUUCUAGAAGUAUUAUGUUUUUGCUUGCAUAGUUUGCUUGGUUUGAUGAUGCUAUGGAUUGUACCGGGGUAUAAUCUAUAGAGAAGUUAGAAUACAAUAACUAUUAUUGAAUAAUGAAAUAUUAAUCAAUUUACAACAGCACCUAAGUAUUUGAUAUGUUGCUUAUAUUAACGGAUCUCUUGAAGUUUUGUGGAGUUUGAUGUGAUUGAAGCUUUGAAGUUUUGGGUGUUAUCGCAAUGGACAGUGGAAUAAGGAGCGGAAAAGGCUAAGCUUGGGGAUUCCCAAGGAACCCAAGGUAAUAUUGUAGGAAUACUCAAGUGUCCAAUCUUGGGGAUGCCCUCAAAGGGACCCCCUCUUUCGUCUCAAUCCAUCGGUAUGUCACUUGAAGCUACAUUUUUAUUCAUUACAUGAUGUGGGUUUUCCUUGGAGCGUCGUUUGCUUUAGUUUGGUUUUUAUUUUUUUAGUUUGCCAUAAUCAUUUUUUAGACACACCAACCUGAGAGAGAUACUCAUUUUUAUAGAAUACUCUUUGUGCUUCACUUACAUCUUUUAAGUUAAACAAUUGCUCUAGUACUUCACUUAUAUCUUUUUGAGCACGGUAGCGUGUAGAUUUUAUAGAAAUAUUUGAACUCUUGUUCCUCACUUAUAUUUAUUUGAGAGUUAAUAAACAGUGACUGUAAUUUUCAUGAGUCAUAAAGCUAGUCCAAAAAUAAUAGGUAUAUAAUGAAUGAUAAUCAAAACCAUCAUGUAGCACAUAAAGAGAAAUUGUGGAUUAAUGAUAUUGAUGUGGUAAUAUGAAAAGCUGUGAGUGCGUCAUUGUUGAUUCGUAGAAGUUGCGGUAUUGGGAGGUGUUAAUUCCUUGUUUCUCUGGAUAUUGAAAAGGCAUGACGGGUAUGUUUGAGCAUUUCUAUUCCUCCUUGAAAUACUAGUGUUGUUUUGAGUCGGAGUCGCCGAUGGUUAACUCCUCCCAAACCUCUCCCAGGGGCAUGCCGGUAGUGCUGUGAUUUUUGAUAAAACUGAUAAAACUUUCCAAUAAAUAUAUGAGUUCUUUAUGACUAAUGUGAAACCAUGGACAUACACAAUCUUACCUCCUCAUAUUUUGCUAGCCUCUUUGGUAUCGUGCAUUGGCUGUUCUCACGUCAAGAAUCAGUGUGAACUUCACCGAUGCAUCCAAACCCGCGGCAUGAGAUGCUUUGUCACACACAAACCUUUAUUUAUCUUCAUCAAAACAAACACCAUACCUACCUAUCAUGGCAUUUCCAUAGCCAUUCGGAGAUAUAUUGCCAUGCAAAUCCCAUCGUCAUAUGACUAGUUCAUUCAUCAUCAUAUUGCUUUGCAUGAUCAUAUAGAGCUGACCUAGCAUUUGUGGCAAAGCCACCAUUCAUUAUAUUGUUGAUACAUGUCAUGCAAGAUCAUUGCACAUCCUGGUAUAUUGCCAGAGGCAUUCAUAUUGAGUCAUAUCGAUCUUUCAUGAUUUGUAAGUGAAUAAAAGUGUGAUGAUCAUCAUUAUUAGAGCAUUGUCCUAGUGAGGAAAAAAUGAUGGACUAUGAUUCCUCCACAAGUUGGGAAGAGACUCCAGACGAAAAAUGAAAAUGGGGGAGGACAAAUGAGCCCAACAUAAAAAACGAUGAAUGAGAUAAAAAGAGAGAAGGGGCUUUGCUACCAUCCUUUACCACACUUGUACCUCAAAGUGACACCAUGUUCCUCAAAUAGAAAGUCUGAUGAUAUGUCAUUUUUAUAUACUAGUGGGAAUCAUAUUAUCAUUAUUAUAAAUUUGGCUUGCAUAUUUCGAUGACGGGAUUCCUCAAAUGUCCGGGGUCUUCAUGAGCAAACAAGCUUGAUGCACACCCCACUUAGCUUGGUUUGAGCUUCCAUACACUUAUACUUCUAGUGCAUCAUUUGCAUGGCAAUCCAUACUCCUCGCAUUGACAUCUACCGAUGGUUAUCUCCAUAGGUCGUUGGUAUGCCUAGUUGAUGCGAUGCUAUCUUACCACGUUUGCCCAUUUGAUAUGUACCAUCAUAUUCUAUUCCACCAUAUGCUAUGUCCAUGGCUCAUGCUCAAAUACUGCAUGAAGAACAAAGAGUUGAUUCAAUUGGAAAAGUAUGAUCCAAUUGCCUGACUUGGACAUCGUGGUGCUUAACAUUUGUAUUAAUGUGGUGAAGACAGAUCCAUGCUUUGCUAAUAUGAAAUAUUAAUGGGUGUAAACAUUCUUUGUGGAUCGUAUACUUUGAAAGAUCGAUGAUUUUGUUGCUUGUGCUUAUAAGUAUUACCAUGUUGAUGUUUGUUAAUUCAUCGUUUCUUAAUGAGCAUACAUGCAAAAUUGUCGGUGUUUACUCCCAACAUAUGCAUGUGUAGGCUAAAGAUGGUGGGAACCGAAGUGACACCGGUGAGUGCUGGGGACGAGGUUGGUACAAGCAUGGAACGCACGAUGUACCCAGGUUCAGGGCUCUCCGUAGAGAUAACACCCCUAAUCCUGCCAGAGUGUAUAAUGCACCAAUGAAGUUACAAUGUGCUCCUGGAGCUGUUCUACGGAGGAGGAAGAAGGAGCAGCCGGCUCGCGUCUACCUCUCCUGUAUGAGUGUGUGUAUGAAGGAUUGACUAACCCUCUGCAUGGAGGGGGUCGGGGGGUUUUAUAGACAAACCCACCGACCUACAAUAAGGAUAAAAGUACAUGAGUGGGGCCCGGCUGGCAGCCUCGCUGGCUGGCCAGGGGGCCCACGAGGGCCUUGUCUUGUCGCAGGAGGGGCCGACCGGAUGCGAGGUCCCAUCUGGCUAUGGGACCCGCCGGCUAGCCAGUAAGGCUCUCGCGUAAGGCCUAUGUAGGACACUUGUAGUACGUCCGGCGUCGUCUUGCGAGAUUCGUCAUGGGGUGCCAGUACGACCGUCUCCAUUGUUCCCACGCCAAGUGUGAUAAUGGAGUGGGAGUUUGACGAGCCAACACUAUGCAGGAUGAUGUAUCGGAGCCGGAGUAGGUCGCCUUCCCUUCACCACCUCGGUGCAGGACUUUGCCGACCGCUUCCAGACGUUGGCAUGCCAUGCGCCUGACGUCACGGCUCGCCAACGCGCUGAGCUCUUCGUCGGCGGCCUUCCCGACCACAUCCGCAUCGACGUCGAGAUGCGCGACCCCCAGGACCUGCAGACGACCAUGUAUUACGCACGCGCGUACGAGCAGCGCGCCAACGCCCUGCAGCAGGCGUUCCCGGACCGCGGCACGCGUCCCCCGACCCGCCCCGCCCCGGCGGCCGCCACCCCGACACGCCCCGCCCUGCCGGCNCCGCUACUGCGGCUGCCCCCGCGCCGACACGCACCUUCCGGUGCUUGACGUCGGCCGAGCAGCUCGAGUGGCGCCGCAAGGGCCUGUGCUUCAACUACGACGAGCCGUAUGCGCCGGGUCAUACGUGCGCCCGCCUGUUCUACUUGGAGACCGUCGACGACGCGGAGGUGGAGGCCCUCACCGCGGAGCUCGACGCCACCACACUCCGAGGCCGGCGUCAUGACCUACGGGCCGGUCGACGCGACCGCCUUUGUCGUCUCCCUUCAUGCCAUGGCUGGCAUCAAGACGGCAAAGACGAUGCUGCUUCCGGUGACGAUCAACGGGGAGCGUCUCACCGCGCUCGUGGACACGGGUUCGACGCACAACUUCCUGUCCGGGGACGCCAUGCGCCGCCUCGCACUCCAACCGGCGGGCUCGUAGAAGUUCAGCGUCACCGUCGCCAACGGGGACCGCCUUGCUUGCCAGGGGGUGGCGCGGCAGGUUCCCGUCCUCAUCGGCGACGAGCCGUUCUCCAUUGACUGCGUCGGCAUCGACCUGGGCUGCUACGACUUCAUCCUCGGCGUCGACUUCCUGUCCACUCUCGGCCCCAUCCUUUGGGACCUCGAUGUGCUGUCCCUCAUCUUCUGGCGCGAGGGCGGCCGUCGCGUUCAGUGGACAGGCAUCGGCGGCUCCGGCGCCGUGACUCCGCAGCUCCAGUUGAUGGCGGCCGCACUGGACGAGGCGCAUCCCCUCCUGGCCGACCUCCUGCAGCAGCACAGCGACAUCUUCGACGAGCCACAGGGCCUCCCUCCCGCGCGGCCCUGUGACCACCGCAUCCACCUGCUGCCGGACACGGCACCUGUAGCCGUGCGUCCAUACCGGUACCCUCAGCUGCAGAAAGACGAGCCCGAGCGUCAGGUGGCGGUCAUGCUCGCGCAGGGCAUCAUCCGGAUUUCGACAUCGCCGUCCUCCGCCCCGGUGCUCCUUGUGCACAAGCCCGACGGCACAUGGCGCUUCUGCAUCGACUACCGUGCCCUCAACGCCCUGACGUCCAAGGACAAGUUCCCCAUCCCCGUCGUGGAUGAGCUCUUAGACGAGCUACACGGAGCGCGCUCCUUCACCAAGCUCGACCUUCGCUCGGGCUACCAUCAGGUGCGCAUGCACCCUGACGACAUCGAGAAGACGGCGUUCCGCACUCACCAUGGCCACUUCGAGUUCCUGGUGAUGCCGUUCGGCCUCUCCAACGCGGCGGCGACCUUCCAGGCCCUGAUGAACGACGUGCUCAGCCCAUACUUGCGCCGCUUUGUGCUUGUUUUCUUUGAUGACAUUCUUAUCUACAGUGCAUCUUGGGCGGAGCACCUACAACACGUGGCCAUCAUCUUCAACAAGCUUCGAGCGCAUCGUCUUCACCUCAAGCGCUCGAAGUGCUCGUUCGGCACGACCUCCGUCGCGUACCUGGGGCACGUUAUCUCGGCGGACGGGGUAGCGAUGGACGCGGACAAGGUCGCCGCCGUCGCCGCGUGGCCGAUCCCGCCGUCGCCGCGUGGCCGAUCCCGCCGUCACCGUGGGCGCUCCGCGGCUUCUUGGGCCUCGCCGGCUACUACCGGAAGUACAUCCGGGACUUCGGCCUCAUCGCCGCGCCACUGACGCGUCUCCUUCGACGGGACGCCUUCUCCUGGGACGAGGAGGCGACUACGGCAUUCGAGGCUCUCCAGCGGGCGCUCACGACGGGACCCGUCCUCCAGAUGCCGGACUUUGAUAUGCCGUUCAUGGUGGACUACGACGCCUCUGGCAUCGGCUUCGGCGCCGUCCUCCACCAGGGCGAGGGACCGCUCGCCUUCUUCAGCCGCCCCUUCGCCGCUCGCCAUCACAAGCUCGUGGCCUACGAGCGCGAGCUUAUUGGGCUGGUUCAGGCGGUGCGCCACUGGCGGCCUUAUCUUUGGGGCCGGUCAUUCCGUGUGCGCACGGACCACCAUAGCCUCAAGUUAUUGUUGGACCAGCGCCUCUCCACAGUUCCGCAGCACCAGUGGAUCAGCAAGCUCUUCGGCUUCGACUUCACCGUCGAGUACCGCCCCGGCCGUCUCAACACGGUCGCCGACGCCUUGUCCCGCCGCGACACUGAGGAUGUCGCGGACGACGUCGCCAUGGCUGGCACUAUCAUGUGCAUCCGCUCCGGGCCAUCUUUCGCCUUCAUCGACGACAUUCACCAGGCAACUUCGAUGGCCGUGGACGCGCAGGGCCUGCGCCAGCGCCUUGACGCCGGCGAGCUGGACGCGCCCUGGCGCUUGGACGAGGGGCUGCUCCUACAUGGCCGCCGCAUCUUCGUGCCCGACCAUGGCGACCUGCGCCACCAGGUCCUGACCUUGGCGCACUCUGCAGGGCACGAGGGCGUGCAGAAGGCUCUCCAUCGUCUCCGUGUUGAUUUUUACAUCCCCGGUGAUGGCGCGAUGGUCCGCGACUGGGUGCGGUCGUGCGUGACGUGCCAGCGGAACAAGACGGAGACACUACGACCUGCGGGUCUACUGCAGCCGCUGGACGUACCCUCCCAGGUGUGGGCGGAUAUUUCCAUGGACUUCAUCGAGGGCCUUCCCAAGGUGGGCGGCAAGUCCGUCAUCCUCACGGUGGUUGACCGCUUCUCCAAGUACGCGCACUUCAUCGCCCUGGGUCAUCCAUAUACAGCCGCCUCCGUGGCGCGGGCCUUCUUCGACGGCAUCGUCCGCCUCCAUGGUUUUCCGUCGUCCAUCGUCAGCGAUCGUGAUCCCGUAUUCACGGGACAUGUCUGGCGGGAUCUCUUUCGACUGGCGGGUGUGAGGCUCCGCAUGAGCACGGCGUUCCACCCUGAGACAGACGGCCAAUCCGAGGUGGUCAACAAGGUGAUCGCCAUGUACCUGCGCUGUGUUACUGGUGAUCGUCCACGAGCUUGGGUGGACUGGUUGGCGUGGGCGGAGUACUGCUACGACACCUCCUAUCACUCCGCCCUGCGCACCACGCCUUUCGAGGUGGUCUACGGGCGCCCACCUCCGGCGAUGCUCCCUUACGAGCCUGGGACGGCUUGGUCCGAGAUGGCGGGCGACUUACUCCGCACCCGCGAUGACAUUCUGGCUGAGGCACGCCAGCGUCUUCUCCAAGCACAACAGCUGGCUCGGAAGUACUACGAUGCUCAUCAUCGCGAGGCGGAGUUCGCGGUGGGCGAUUGGGUGUGGCUGCGCCUCCUCCACAGGACCACGCAGUCUCUGGACCCGCGCUCCAAGCGCAAAUUGGGACCUCGCUACGCCGGUCCAUUUCGUGUGCUGGAGCGUGUCGGCACACUCGCAUACCGCUUGGAGCUACCAGCUGGUUCUCGCCUCCACGACGUCUUCCAUGUCGGCUUACUGAAGGCCUACCGUAGGGACCCUCCAUCAGCGACGCUGACCCUUCCUCCUACUUCAGAUGGCCGCCUCCUUCCAGCUUCCACACAGGUGGCGAAGGUGCUGCGGGCGCAGCAGCGUCGCGGCGUCUGGCAUGUCUUGGUACAGUGGACCGGCCUGCCAGAGGAGGAAGCGACUUGGGAGAAGCUCGACGAUUUCCGCCAACAGUUUCCAGAUGUUCAGCUCGAGGACGAGCUGUUUGAGAAGGCGGGGAGAGAUGUUAUGACCGGUACAACGUACCAACGGAGGAGGCCCAAUGGGCAGGGUUAAUUACGGGCUUAGCCCAAGUUAUUUUGCCUAUCUUAGAGUCCAAGUUAUCUAGGGUUUAGUGGAGGUUGUCCUCCUAUAUAAACACAUGUACCCCUUCGAUAUUAAGCAGACAAUAAACAGUAUAUUCUGUUGUCGUCUCCCUCAGGAGACGGGAGCCCCAAACCCUAGCCGCCUCUCUCUCUCUUUCUCACGCCGCGACGGCGCCCAACCGUCGGCGCCGGCGUCCCCAACCUCGCAGCCCGCACUUUCACCCCUACAACCUACGUCCGAGACCUGGUAGAACCCUAGCCUCUACCACUAAGCUAGUGGCCAUGGUUGCCUGGUUUCUAUCAAUGGGUUUUGCUCAUUGUAUGUAAAAUUAUCUUUUGUGAAUAAAUAUACCAGCUCUUUGUAACACCCGGAUGUUUUGUAUAAUACAAGGACAGUAACCUUUUGUCUCAAGCAAGUUCGGGUGGGCUAAAUAUGAAAACCGAUAGAACAUAUGGAAACCAAUAAAAGAAAUCUAUCAGGUUUCAUAUCCGUAAGAGUGUUUAGUUUUACUUUCGCUCGCCAAGCCUAUCAUAACUUUCCUCUUUUACUCAGGCUUGGGAGGGCUAUGGCUUAAAAGACAUAGGCGGAGUUAGACUUUUCUAUUUGUUACAACUCAUAACAAAUUUAUAAGAGUUUUAUUCCAUGGUUUGUUUUAUUUUUCCUUCUACAGCUGGCCAUUGACACUUGGAAAAUCUUAUUGUUGGUCUGGAUGAUCCAUUCUCGGAUCUGUACACAUGGUGUCGCUUUGUUGGGAAGCGACAAAACACAUAAUGUUUACCAUUUUAUUGGACUCACCACUUGCUACAUAUCUGCCUCCGCACUGAAUUUUUGCUCAUAGCAUUCAUGAUUUGGAUUUCUGUGAACGAUUUUGGAAGAGAACAUAUUUUUGACAAAUGAUGUGUGAUGCAUAGUUCUGCGCACCUAUCCCUUACUUAGAAAAAUAAAUAGAAGUGCCUGCUUUUGCAUGCACUGUCGAGUGUGUAUAGAUGGCAGAAUAGUUGUAGGCUUGCCUUCUACUAAUCUGUUUCAUUUACACUGUAGGUGGCACAUCUAUAAGUACCCAGAUUAUGGCAUGCUGAUAUUACGGUGAUAUUAAUACAUUGGAAAAUCUGGAAAGAACGCAAUGUCAGGAUAUUAUUAACACAGAGUUUGUUGUUGACAGGGUGUUGGAAUCUGUCAUUGAAGAUGUUCAAUCAUGGAGAGCUGUAGGCUGCUUGUCUUCUUUAUGAAUCAUGUUCCUGUUGUUUUCUCCUUGCUGGGAGUGUAUUAGGAGAGUCGUGUAAUCAGAUGCUCUGUGAGGCUAUGUAUAGAGUUUCAGCUACGUUUUCUUGAGUGGCAACCAUGUAAUUUCCAAACUCAUUUUCUUAGAGAUGGUCCUGUACAUUCGUCUCCCAAUUUUUUAAAUAAAGUUCAGCCUCAGGACCUUCGAGAUAAGCUUAGCCCCCAUGUUAAUGAAGUAAUGUUGUGUUCUUAUGUUAUGGUUACUGUCAAAAUUUCAGUUGGCACUGAAAUAGAAAAUUAUCCAAUAAUUAUGAUGUAAUUCCGGUUAUGAUACCUCAAAAAUAUAUUGUAAAAUGAUAUUUUUACUGCAUCAAAUCCAUGGUGCCUCACGGAAGUCUAGAAAAACUCGGCGAAAAGUAGAGAAAAAACAGAACAAUAGCUGCUUGGCCAAACGUGGCAGGGCCCUCAAAUGGAGAAGCACCCUCGCACCAGACCGACCGGGUGAGCGGAUGAAGGAUGACAUCGACUAGGGAGUCGCAUCUAUCUGUCACAUCCCCUGGAUUCCCUAUUAGGAUUUAGCAAGUUGUACUCAUGUCUUCUUUCAUUGCAUUCAAGAAAUGGAAAUGAACUCAAAGAAAAUGGGGGAAUCAAAGCAAAACCAUAGCCA